ACGUAGGGGGCAAGCGUUGUCCGGAAUUAUUGGGCGUAAAGCGCGCGCAGGCGGUUUUUUAAGUCUGGUGUAUAAGUGCGGGGCUCAACCCCGUGAGGCACUGGAAACUGGGGGACUUGAGUGCAGAAGAGGAAAGUGGAAUUCCACGUGUAGCGGUGAAAUGCGUAGAGAUGUGGAGGAACACCAGUGGCGAAGGCGACUUUCUGGUCUGUAACUGACGCUGAGGCGCGAAAGCGUGGGGAGCAAACAGGA
Molecule: ribosomal RNA, 252 nt
Filed under: uncultured prokaryote
Description: partial 16S ribosomal RNA
Rfam family: Bacterial small subunit ribosomal RNA
Source: RNAcentral